Molecule: ribosomal RNA, 484 nt
Filed under: uncultured bacterium
Lineage: Bacteria
Description: partial 16S ribosomal RNA
Rfam family: Bacterial small subunit ribosomal RNA
Source: RNAcentral
AUUGAACGCUGGCGGCAGGCCUAACACAUGCAAGUCGAGCGGAUGAAGGGAGCUUGCUCCUGGAUUCAGCGGCGGACGGGUGAGUAAUGCCUAGGAAUCUGCCUGGUAGUGGGGGAUAACGUCCGGAAACGGGUGCUAAUACCGCAUACGUCCUGAGGGAGAAAGUGGGGGAUCUUCGGACCUCACGCUAUCAGAUGAGCCUAGGUCGGAUUAGCUAGUUGGUGGGGUAAAGGCCUACCAAGGCGACGAUCCGUAACUGGUCUGAGAGGAUGAUCAGUCACACUGGAACUGAGACACGGCCCAGACUCCUACGGGAGGCAGCAGUGGGGAAUAUUGGACAAUGGGCGAAAGCCUGAUCCAGCCAUGCCGCGUGUGUGAAGAAGGUCUUCGGAUUGUAAAGCACUUUAAGUUGGGAGGAAGGGCAGUAAGUUAAUACCUUGCUGUCUUGACGUUACCAACAGAAUAAGCACCGGCUAACUUCGUG